UGGGGAAUCUUGCGCAAUGGCCGCAAGGCUGACGCAGCGACGCCGCGUGGGGGAGGAAGGGCUUCGGCUCGUAAACCCCUGUUGCCCGGGACGAACAAGCGGUUUGGGCCGCUCUGACGGUACCGGGUGAGGAAGCACCGGCUAACUCCGUGCCAGCAGCCGCGGUAAUACGGAGGGUGCGAGCGUUGUCCGGAAUCACUGGGCGUAAAGGGCGCGUAGGCGGCUCGGUAAGCGUGCGGUGAAAGCCCGGGGCUCAACCCCGGGUCGGCCGUGCGAACUGUCGAGCUGGAGCACUGUAGAGGCGGGUGGAAUUCCGGGUGUAGCGGUGGAAUGCGUAGAGAUCCGGAAGAACACCGGUGGCGAAGGCGGCCCGCUGGGCAGUGGCUGACGCUGAUGCGCGACAGCGUGGGGAGCAAACAGGAUUAGAUACCCCGGUAGUCC
Molecule: ribosomal RNA, 441 nt
Filed under: uncultured bacterium
Lineage: Bacteria
Description: bacterial SSU rRNA
Rfam family: Bacterial small subunit ribosomal RNA
Source: RNAcentral